RNAcentral lists this ribosomal RNA (254 nucleotides) under uncultured bacterium. RNAcentral's name for it is "partial 16S ribosomal RNA". It matches the Rfam family "Bacterial small subunit ribosomal RNA", at positions 524 to 776 of the family's 1533-position model. The record is from RNAcentral.
UACGUAGGGGGCAAGCGUUGUUCGGAUUUACUGGGCGUAAAGAGCUCGUAGGCGGCUUGUCGCGUCGACUGUGAAAACCCAUGGCUCAACCAUGUGGUCUGCAGUCGAUACGGGCAGGCUAGAAUUCGGUAGGGGAGACUGGAAUUCCUGGUGUAGCGGUGAAAUGCGCAGAUAUCAGGAGGAACACCGGUGGCGAAGGCGGGUCUCUGGGCCGAUAUUGACGCUGAGGAGCGAAAGCGUGGGGAGCGAACAGG